ACUCCUACGGGAGGCAGCAGUGGGCAAUUUUCCGCAAUGAGCGAAAGCCUGACGGAGCAACGCCGCGUGAGGGAUGAAGGCCUCUGGGCUGUAAACCUCUUUUAUCAAGGAAGAAGAUCUGACGGUACUUGAUGAAUAAGCCACGGGUAAUUCCGUGCCAGCAGCCGCGGUAAUAA
This 176-nucleotide ribosomal RNA is filed under the name uncultured cyanobacterium. RNAcentral's name for it is "partial 16S ribosomal RNA". It matches the Rfam family "Bacterial small subunit ribosomal RNA", at positions 335 to 526 of the family's 1533-position model. The record is from RNAcentral. Lineage: Bacteria; Bacillati; Cyanobacteriota.